This 113-nucleotide ribosomal RNA is filed under the name Aneurinibacillus thermoaerophilus. The record is from RNAcentral. Lineage: Bacteria; Bacillati; Bacillota; Bacilli; Caryophanales; Paenibacillaceae.
UCUGGUGACGAUAGCGAGGGGUCACACCUGUUCCCAUCCCGAACACAGAAGUUAAGCCCUUCAGCGCCGAUGGUACUUGGGCGUAUGCCCUGGGAAGUAGGACGUUGCCAGGC